Molecule: ribosomal RNA, 253 nt
Filed under: uncultured bacterium
Lineage: Bacteria
Description: partial 16S ribosomal RNA
Rfam family: Bacterial small subunit ribosomal RNA
Source: RNAcentral
UACGAAGGGGGCUAGCGUUGUUCGGAAUUACUGGGCGUAAAGCGCGCGCAGGUGGUCUUUCAAGUCAGUGGUGAAAGCCCGGAGCUCAACACCGGAAAUGCCAUUGAAACUGUAAGACUUGAGGAUGAGAGAGGUGAGUGGAAUUCCCAGUGUAGAGGUGAAAUUCGUAGAUAUUGGGAAGAACACCGGUGGCGAAGGCGGCUCACUGGCUCAUAUCUGACGCUCAGGCGCGACAGCGUGGGGAUCAAACAGG